UCCCCUAUCUUCGUCCACGUUUUGUUCUUAUCCAUAUCCGAUUUUUAUUUAACAUGUAGAGUCGUUAUUCUACGGAACCCUUUAUUACUUUAGGGAUUAAUCGAAGUCAACUGACCCAAUUCAUAAACAAACUAUAUGGAUUUCCUCGAUGAUCGGAUUUAUUUAUUAUCGCUUAGAUGUUUUUCUGGUUCUGAAUUUCAAACUAAUUUUAUGCCCUGUUUAUAUUCUGUUUCAUUUGAAGUUAUAAAAUUUAACUCAACAGAACCACUAAACAGAAUUGAGUUCUGGUAACAGGGAUCAUAGGGUGAGGGUUUCGCUCAUCCAAUCAUUCCUUUGUUAUCUGCACUAGUGAGUGUCGUCUUCUGAUAAAACGACGUCGUCGUCACACAGCCUUGGUUAGAAGAAGAAGAAGAAGAAGGUAUGGGAGACAUAUUCUACGGCAACGAUGACCACCGAGAAAUGAAUGAUUGUAUGUAUAAGGAGGAUGUGAUAGAAAGCAUGAGAAAGCAAAGGGAAAUCAAAGAACUCAAGCGCAGACAAAACAACAACAACUACUGCUGCUGCUACUUGUACUUCCUUCGAUGCUUUGAUGACUUUCUCACGCUUCUCCGUGCUUUCAUCAACUUCUGAUCGAUCAUCCUUUCAUCUCCUUGUGACUAGCUAAGCUACUAUUCGUCUUAUCUUAAUCAAUUUCUUGUGUAUUUCAUUGAUCGUACAAAACUCGAUCAUGAAAUUUUUUAUUUCCUCAUCUAAUCCACUGCUUUACAUGAACUUUUUUCAUAAAUCCAUCUGUGUUGCAGUAUCGAUGUAAUUACUUGUAUAUUACUACUCCCCCUGAUUUGAUAUAGGCGCAAUAAUGAUAAGAGUUCAAUUAGAAUGUGUAGGAUAACAUUAUGAAUUAUCAUGUAGGAUAAAAUUAUUAAUUCUUCU
Molecule: long non-coding RNA, 930 nt
Organism: Glycine soja
Lineage: Eukaryota; Viridiplantae; Streptophyta; Magnoliopsida; Fabales; Fabaceae
Exons: 2
Source: RefSeq, a predicted model, not a curated record